RNAcentral lists this ribosomal RNA (253 nucleotides) under uncultured bacterium. RNAcentral describes it as "partial 16S ribosomal RNA". It matches the Rfam family "Bacterial small subunit ribosomal RNA", at positions 524 to 776 of the family's 1533-position model. The record is from RNAcentral.
GACGUAGGGCGCGAGCGUUGUCCGGAUUUAUUGGGCGUAAAGAGCUCGUAGGCGGCUUGUCGCGUCGACCGUGAAACCUCACAGCUCAACUGUGAGCCUGCGGUCGAUACGGGCAGGCUAGAGUUCGGUAGGGGAGACUGGAAUUCCUGGUGUAGCGGUGAAAUGCGCAGAUAUCAGGAGGAACACCGGUGGCGAAGGCGGGUCUCUGGGCCGAUACUGACGCUGAGGCGCGAAAGUCAGGGGAGCGAACAGG